AAGUCGUAACAAGGUUUCCGUAGGUGAACCUGCGGAAGGAUCAUUAAAAAAAAUAUUAUACAUCUCUUCUAGGAUUAAACACUAAAUGUUAUAUUUCAAUAAGUUUAAAAUAAAAAACUUUCAACAACGGAUCUCUUGGUUCUC
RNAcentral lists this unclassified non-coding RNA (144 nucleotides) under Metschnikowia noctiluminum. RNAcentral's name for it is "partial internal transcribed spacer region". The stretch from base 1 to 46 matches the Rfam family "Eukaryotic small subunit ribosomal RNA", at positions 1786 to 1831 of the family's 1831-position model. Lineage: Eukaryota; Fungi; Ascomycota; Pichiomycetes; Serinales; Metschnikowiaceae. The record is from RNAcentral.